GAUCAUGGCUCAGGAUGAACGCUAGCUACAGGCUUAACACAUGCAAGUCGAGGGGCGAGCAUGGUCUUAGCUUGCUAAGGCCGAUGGCGGCCGGCGCACGGGUGAGUAACACGUAUCCAACCUGCCGUCUACUCUUGGACAGCCUUCUGAAAGGAAGAUUAAUACAAGAUGGCAUCAUGAGUUCCGCAUGUUCACAUGAUUAAAGGUAUUCCGGUAGACGAUGGGG
Molecule: ribosomal RNA, 226 nt
Filed under: uncultured bacterium
Lineage: Bacteria
Description: partial 16S ribosomal RNA
Rfam family: Bacterial small subunit ribosomal RNA
Source: RNAcentral